This 446-nucleotide ribosomal RNA is filed under the name uncultured bacterium. RNAcentral describes it as "SSU rRNA". It matches the Rfam family "Bacterial small subunit ribosomal RNA", at positions 26 to 518 of the family's 1533-position model. The record is from RNAcentral.
AGGAUGAACGCUGGCGGCGUGCCUAAGACAUGCAAGUCGAGUGGGUUUAGACCCACGGCGAACGGGUGAGUAAUACCUAGGAACUUUCUUUAAGUGGAGCAUAACCAGUCGAAAGAUUGGAUAAUACUUCAUGUGAUAGCAAUAUCAAAGUCGCAAGACGCUUAAAGUGAGGCCUGGGCACCAUCAGCUAGUUGGUAAGGUAACGGCUUACCAAGGCUAUGACGGUUAGGGGUCCCGAGAGGGAUAACCCCCACACUGGAACUGCGACACGGUCCAGACUCCUACGGGAGGCAGCAGUUUGGAAUUUUGGACAAUGGGCAAAGCCUGAUCCAGCGACGCCGCGUGGACGAUGAAGGCCUUCGGGUCGUAAAGUCCUUUUGGCUCGGGAACAAUAUUUUGAGCGUACCGAGAGAAUAAGAGGUUGCUAACUCUGCGCCAGCAGCCGC